GACGAACGCUGGCGGCGUGCCUCAAACAUGCAAGUCGAGCGAGGGUUGGUCGCGGGGCAACUCGCGAUCAACUCGAGCGGCGAACGGGUGAGUAACACGUGGGCAACCUGCCCCACAGACGGGGAUACCCUCGGGAAACCGGGGCUAAUACCCGGUACGCUCCUCGGGCGGCAUCGCCUGGGGAGGGAAGGUCGCAAGACGCUGUGGGAUGGGCCCGCGGCCUAUCAGCUAGUUGGUGGGGUAACGGCCCACCAAGGCGACGACGGGUAGCUGGCCUGAGAGGGUGGUCAGCCACACUGGGACUGAGACACGGCCCAGACUCCUACGGGAGGCAGCAGUUGGGAAUCUUGGGCAAUGGGCGCAAGCCUGACC
RNAcentral lists this ribosomal RNA (372 nucleotides) under uncultured bacterium. RNAcentral describes it as "bacterial SSU rRNA". It matches the Rfam family "Bacterial small subunit ribosomal RNA", at positions 28 to 388 of the family's 1533-position model. The record is from RNAcentral.